RNAcentral lists this ribosomal RNA (305 nucleotides) under uncultured bacterium. RNAcentral's name for it is "bacterial SSU rRNA". It matches the Rfam family "Bacterial small subunit ribosomal RNA", at positions 337 to 656 of the family's 1533-position model. The record is from RNAcentral.
GCCUACGGGGCGCAGCAGUGGGGAAUAUUGCACAGUGGGGGAAACCCUGAUGCAGCGACGCCGCGUGAGCGAAGAAGUAUUUCGGUAUGUAAAGCUCUAUCAGCAGGGAAGAAAAAAAUGACGGUACCUGAGUAAGAAGCACCGGCUAAAUACGUGCCAGCAGCCGCGGUAAUACGUAUGGUGCAAGCGUUAUCCGGAUUUACUGGGUGUAAAGGGAGCGUAGACGGCAAGACAAGCCUGGAGUGAAAGGCGGGGGCCCAACCCCCGGACUGCUCUGGGAACUGUCUGGCUGGAGUGCAGGAGGG